UGAUUACUGGGCUGUUUGUCAGUAUUCGGGUAUCCCUUGAGCCUAAUUACUUUACCCGGGAACAGGCGUGGAAAGGCUGUGUGCAUGACCGCUUGUCGGUACGCCUAAUACCUUUCUCGUGGUUCCCACUUGAACCGCUGGUUCAAGGUCAAUGUCUACAACGGCGGUUUGGUUUUCAU
Molecule: non-coding RNA, 179 nt
Filed under: Leucothrix pacifica
Lineage: Bacteria; Pseudomonadati; Pseudomonadota; Gammaproteobacteria; Thiotrichales; Thiotrichaceae
Description: 6S / SsrS RNA
Rfam family: 6S / SsrS RNA
About the family: E. coli 6S RNA was the first non coding RNA to be sequenced, but its function was unknown until recently.
Source: Rfam by way of RNAcentral